CUAAUACAUGCAAGUCGAGCGCGACUGAUUACACCGUCCUUUUGGACACCGUAAUCAUCGAGCGGCGGACGGGUGAGUAACACGUGGGCAACCUACCCUUAAGACUGGGAUAACCGCGGGAAACCGUGGCUAAUACCGGAUAAUACUUUUAUACAUCAGUAUAGGAGUUGAAAGGUGGAUUUCUAUCACUUAAGGAUGGGCCUGCGGCGCAUUAGCUCGUUGGUAAGGUAAUGGCUUACCAAGGCGACGAUGCGUAGCCGACCUGAGAGGGUGAUCGGCCACACUGGGACUGAGACACGGCCCAGACUCCUACGGGAGGCAGCAGUAGGGAAUCUUCCGCAGUGGACGAAAGUCUGACGGAGCAAUGCCGCGUGAGUGAUGAAGGCCUUAGGGUCGUAAAACUCUGUUGUUAGGGAAGAAUAGGUAUCGGAGUAAUAUGCCGGUACUUUGACGGUACCUUACCAGAAAGCCCCGGCUAACUACGUGCCAGCAGCCGCGGUAAUACGUAGGGGGCGAGCGUUGUCCGGAAUUAUUGGGCGUAAAGGGCGCGCAGGCGGUUUCUUAAGUCUGAUGUGAAAUCUCGUGGCUUAACCACGAGCGGUCGUUGGAAACUGGGAACCUUGAGUACAGAAGAGGAGAGUGGAAUUCCACGUGUAGCGGUGAAAUGCGUAGAGAUGUGGAGGAACACCGGUGGCGAAGGCGAC
RNAcentral lists this ribosomal RNA (704 nucleotides) under uncultured bacterium. RNAcentral's name for it is "partial 16S rRNA". It matches the Rfam family "Bacterial small subunit ribosomal RNA", at positions 48 to 725 of the family's 1533-position model. The record is from RNAcentral.